This 253-nucleotide ribosomal RNA is filed under the name uncultured bacterium. Its description in RNAcentral is "partial 16S ribosomal RNA". It matches the Rfam family "Bacterial small subunit ribosomal RNA", at positions 524 to 776 of the family's 1533-position model. The record is from RNAcentral.
UACAGGGGGGGCAAGCGUUGUUCGGAAUUACUGGGCGUAAAGGGUCUGUAGGUGGCCAACUAAGUCAGACGUGAAAUCCCUCAGCUUAACUGGGGAACUGCGUCUGAUACUGGAUGGCUUGAGUGUGGGAGAGGAAUGCGGAAUUCCAGGUGUAGCGGUGAAAUGCGUAGAUAUCAAGUGGAACACCAGUGGCGAAGGCGAGUCCCUGGACAACACCUGACACUGAGGCACGAAAGCUAGGGGAGCAAACAGG